UUUCUUACUUCUCUCUUCAGCUAUGGCAGACAUGAUACUGUCAGCAUCUGGGUGCCCACAUAAACAGCUGUCUACAGGAAACAAGGCAGGAGGCCCAUAUUAAAUAAUGAAGAUAGAAUACAUUAAUUACACCAUGGAUGUUAUAUUCCCUCUUAUAAUUUCUGAGUACAAAUAUGAGAAUGGAUCUAAAAGAGGAAGGAGAAAGAGAGUUGACAGAUUGAAACUAUGGAAGAGCAAAGUGACUACUGUGUGUCUGCUCAGAUGAAUUCACAUUCGAAAUGGCCUGCCCCAAAGAGAGAAAAAGGGACCUCUGAACAAAGAGAUAAGUAAAAAAGCCCCUUAAGUCCUUAAGAAUUUCAUGGGGAAAAAUCACAAACAGAAG
RNAcentral lists this long non-coding RNA (382 nucleotides) under Marmota marmota marmota (Alpine marmot). RNAcentral describes it as "lncRNA (ENSMMMG00000007161.1)". The record is from RNAcentral. Lineage: Eukaryota; Metazoa; Chordata; Mammalia; Rodentia; Sciuridae.